GGUGGGUUGGCCGAGAGGCGAGGCAGCGGCCUGCAAAGCCGUAUACACGGGUUCGAAUCCCGUACCCACCUCCG
RNAcentral lists this transfer RNA (74 nucleotides) under Boudabousia marimammalium. RNAcentral's name for it is "Actinomyces marimammalium tRNA-Cys". It matches the Rfam family "tRNA". From Rfam's summary of the family: Transfer RNA (tRNA) molecules are approximately 80 nucleotides in length. Their secondary structure includes four short double-helical elements and three loops (D, anti-codon, and T loops). The record is from RNAcentral. Lineage: Bacteria; Bacillati; Actinomycetota; Actinomycetes; Actinomycetales; Actinomycetaceae.